UUAAAAUCAGAAAUUAAAAUGUGAGAAAAAAUGUGAGGCGUUGGAUGAUGGCUCAUUAAUUGAGCUGGCGCAUCAGACGGAUCAUACGCGCGCGUCCACCAAACACACUAGUCAAUGCAAUCACACCUAGCCAUUAAUUAGGUCAUAACAUUGAACGGAUCAGGUCAAAUCUGGAAAUGGAAAUGCACGGCUGUGAUUUAAUCUGGAGACCAGACGGUGGCCAACGCCAC
This 230-nucleotide long non-coding RNA is filed under the name Lathyrus oleraceus (garden pea). RNAcentral describes it as "Pisum sativum (pea) long non-coding RNA (PSAT_LNC008821)". The record is from RNAcentral. Lineage: Eukaryota; Viridiplantae; Streptophyta; Magnoliopsida; Fabales; Fabaceae.